GCCAACCUCUGACACAUCAAUCAAACUCAAUGGCCUAUAAUCUUCCCCAUUUGCAGAACUUUCUAUCACUUAUAAGCACGAUAGUAACAUUAUCUCAUCUGAUAUUACAAGCACAUUUGUGUUAUGAUUUUCAACAUCCUCAAUUUACAGGAAGAGACUCAUUCUGGUGUAGUCAUGCCCCAUUGAACAGAGCCAAACCUGGAUAUAAUUAUUUCCUCUGAAGUGAAAGAGGCCUAAUAUGGAAGAAGC
This 249-nucleotide long non-coding RNA is filed under the name Homo sapiens (human). RNAcentral describes it as "non-protein coding lnc-FAM84B-2:1". Lineage: Eukaryota; Metazoa; Chordata; Mammalia; Primates; Hominidae. The record is from RNAcentral.